This 495-nucleotide ribosomal RNA is filed under the name uncultured bacterium. RNAcentral's name for it is "partial 16S ribosomal RNA". It matches the Rfam family "Bacterial small subunit ribosomal RNA", at positions 28 to 507 of the family's 1533-position model. The record is from RNAcentral.
GACGAACGCUGGCGGCGUGCCUAAUACAUGCAAGUAGAACGCUGAAGGAGGAGCUUGCUUCUCUGGAUGAGUUGCGAACGGGUGAGUAACGCGUAGGUAACCUGCCUGGUAGCGGGGGAUAACUAUUGGAAACGAUAGCUAAUACCGCAUAAUAGUAGAUGUUGCAUGACAUUUGCUUAAAAGGUGCAAUUGCAUCACUACCAGAUGGACCUGCGUUGUAUUAGCUAGUUGGUGAGGUAACGGCUCACCAAGGCGACGAUACAUAGCCGACCUGAGAGGGUGAGCGGCCACACUGGGACUGAGACACGGCUCAGACGCCUACGGGAGGCAGCAGUAGGGAUUCUUCGGAAAUGGACGGAAGGCUGAACGAGCAACGCCGCGUGAGUGAAGAAGGUUUUCGGAUCGUAAAGAUCUGUUGUAAGAGAAGAACGAGUGUGAGAGUGGAAAGUUCACACUGUGACGGUAUCUUACCAGAAAGGGACGGCUAACUACGUG